UACGUAGGGUGCGAGCGUUGUCCGGAAUUAUUGGGCGUAAAGCGCGUGUAGGCGGCUUUUGCAAGUCGGGUGUGAAAGCCCCUCAGCUCAACUGAGGAAGUGCGCCCGAAACUGCAGAGCUUGAGUGCCGGAGAGGGUGGCGGAAUUCCCCCAAGUAGAGGUGAAAUUCGUAGAUAUGGGGGAGGAACACCGGUGGCGAAGGCGGUCUGCUGGGGUAAUGCUGACACUGAGGCGCGACAGCGUGGGGAGCAAACAGG
This 257-nucleotide ribosomal RNA is filed under the name uncultured bacterium. RNAcentral describes it as "partial 16S ribosomal RNA". It matches the Rfam family "Bacterial small subunit ribosomal RNA", at positions 524 to 776 of the family's 1533-position model. The record is from RNAcentral.